AUAUCAUCAACCAUGUGUAGUUAACCCGUGAUUAUGUUAAGAUCGAUUGUUUUUUUUUACAAGAUAAGUUUAAUGCCAGCUAGUAACUUACCAUGGCUCCUUGCUGCCUGCACUCGCGUAACAGGUGAUCAGCCUGCCACGCAGUCUCCUCGUGGAGUAACAGGUGAUCAGCCUGCCACGCAGUCUCCUCGUGGAGUAACAGGUGAUCAGCCUGCCACGCAGUCUCCUCGUGGAGUAACAGGUGAUCAGCCUGCCACGCAGUCUCCUCGUGGAGUAACAGGUGAUCAGCCUGCCACGCAGUCUCCUCGUGGAGUAACAGGUGAUCAGCCUGCCACGCAGUCUCCUCGUGGAGUAACAGGUGAUCAGCCUGCCACGCAGUCUCCUCGUGGAGUAACAGGUGGUCAGCCUGCCACGCAGUCUCCUCGUGGAGUAACAGGUGAUCAGCCUGCCAUGCAGUCUCCUCGUGGAGUAACAGGUGGUCAGCCUGCCAUGCAGUCUCCUCGUGGAGUAACAGGUGAUCAGCCUGCCAUGCAGUCUCCUCGUGGAGUAACAGGUGAUCAGCCUGCCACGCAGUCUCCUCGUGGAGUAACAGGUGAUCAGCCUGCCAUGCAGUCUCCUCGUGGAGUAACAGGUGAUACAGCCAGAUCAUGUGACUUUUCCC
This is a long non-coding RNA of Oncorhynchus keta (chum salmon), 661 nucleotides long. RefSeq lists it as uncharacterized. The record is from RefSeq and is a predicted model, not a curated record. Lineage: Eukaryota; Metazoa; Chordata; Actinopteri; Salmoniformes; Salmonidae. The transcript has 4 exons.